GAACAUUUGAUAUUUUUGUGUUUCUCCAGUAGGUUUUUCCUGAAGGAAAAGCCCCC
This is a small nuclear RNA of Oncorhynchus mykiss (rainbow trout), 56 nucleotides long. Its record names the gene U7. It matches the Rfam family "U7 small nuclear RNA". From Rfam's summary of the family: Animal histone pre-mRNAs are spliced by a different mechanism than nuclear pre-mRNAs and self-splicing introns. This processing involves the U7 snRNP, which contains only one RNA species: U7. The 5' end of U7 RNA is thought to base-pair to a conserved spacer element downstream of the cleavage site in histone pre-mRNA. The record is from Ensembl. Lineage: Eukaryota; Metazoa; Chordata; Actinopteri; Salmoniformes; Salmonidae.